This 723-nucleotide ribosomal RNA is filed under the name uncultured Methylibium sp. Its description in RNAcentral is "bacterial SSU rRNA". It matches the Rfam family "Bacterial small subunit ribosomal RNA", at positions 775 to 1501 of the family's 1533-position model. Lineage: Bacteria; Pseudomonadati; Pseudomonadota; Betaproteobacteria; Burkholderiales; Sphaerotilaceae. The record is from RNAcentral.
GGAUUAGAUACCCUGGUAGUCCACGCCCUAAACGAUGUCAACUGGUUGUUGGACGGCUUGCUGUUCAGUAACGAAGCUAACGCGUGAAGUUGACCGCCUGGGGAGUACGGCCGCAAGGUUGAAACUCAAAGGAAUUGACGGGGACCCGCACAAGCGGUGGAUGAUGUGGUUUAAUUCGAUGCAACGCGAAAAACCUUACCUACCCUUGACAUGCCAGGAACUUACCAGAGAUGGUUUGGUGCUCGAAAGAGAGCCUGGACACAGGUGCUGCAUGGCCGUCGUCAGCUCGUGUCGUGAGAUGUUGGGUUAAGUCCCGCAACGAGCGCAACCCUUAUCAUUAGUUGCUACGCAGGGGCACUCUAAUGAGACUGCCGGUGACAAACCGGAGGAAGGUGGGGAUGACGUCAGGUCAUCAUGGCCCUUAUGGGUAGGGCUACACACGUCAUACAAUGGCCGGUACAGAGGGCUGCCAACCCGCGAGGGGGAGCUAAUCUCAGAAAACCGGUCGUAGUCCGGAUCGCAGUCUGCAACUCGACUGCGUGAAGUCGGAAUCGCUAGUAAUCGCGGAUCAGCUUGCCGCGGUGAAUACGUUCCCGGGUCUUGUACACACCGCCCGUCACACCAUGGGAGCGGGUUCUGCCAGAAGUAGUUAGCCUAACCGCAAGGGGGGCGAUUACCACGGCAGGGUUCGUGACUGGGGGUGAAGUCGUUAACAAGGUAACC